UUCCUACGGGAGGCAGCAGUGAGGAAUAUUGGUCAAUGGACGAAAGUCUGAACCAGCCAUGCCGCGUGCAGGAAGACGGCUCUAUGAGUUGUAAACUGCUUUUGUACAAGGGUAAACCUGGAUACGUGUAUUCAGCUGAAAGUACUGUACGAAUAAGGAUCGGCUAACUCCGUGCCAGCAGCCGCGGUAAUACGGAGGAUCCAAGCGUUAUCCGGAUUUAUUGGGUUUAAAGGGUGCGUAGGCGGAUUGAUCAGUUAUAGGUGAAAUGUCCGGGCUCAACUCGGGAACUGCCUCUCAUACUGUUG
RNAcentral lists this ribosomal RNA (305 nucleotides) under uncultured bacterium. Its description in RNAcentral is "bacterial SSU rRNA". It matches the Rfam family "Bacterial small subunit ribosomal RNA", at positions 336 to 638 of the family's 1533-position model. The record is from RNAcentral.